UCCUUAGAUGUUCUGGGCCGCACGCGCGCUACACUGUUCGACGCAGCGAGUCUUAACCUUGACCGAAAGGUUUGGGUAAUCUUCAGCAAAGUCGAACGUGAUGGGGAUCGAUCAUUGCAAUUAUUGAUCGUGAACGAGGAAUUCCUAGUAAGUGCAAGUCAUCAGCUUGCGCUGAUUACGUCCCUGCCCUUUGUACACACCGCCCGUCGCUACUACCGAUUGAAUGGUUUAGUGAGAUCUCUGGAUUGACGCUGGCUAGGGGGCGACCCUUGGCCAGGCUGUCGAGAAACUGCUCAAACUUGAUCAUUUAGAGGAAGUAAAAGUCGUAACA
Molecule: ribosomal RNA, 331 nt
Filed under: uncultured eukaryote
Lineage: Eukaryota
Description: partial 18S ribosomal RNA
Rfam family: Eukaryotic small subunit ribosomal RNA
Source: RNAcentral